AGAGUUUGAUCCUGGCUCAGGAUGAACGCUGGCGGCGUGCCUAACACAUGCAAGUCGAGCGAAGCACUUCCAAAGGAUUUCUUCGGAAAGACAGAGGAUUUGACUGAGCGGCGGACGGGUGAGUAACGCGUGGGGAACCUGCCCCAUACAGGGGGAUAACAGUUAGAAAUGACUGCUAAUACCGCAUAAGCGCACAGCACCGCAUGGUGCAGUGUGAAAAACUCCGGUGGUAUGGGAUGGACCCGCGUCUGAUUAGGUAGUUGGUGAGGUAACGGCUCACCAAGCCGACGAUCAGUAGCCGGCCUGAGAGGGUGAACGGCCACAUUGGGACUGAGACACGGCCCAAACUCCUACGGGAGGCAGCAGUGGGGGAUAUUGCACAAUGGGGGGAACCCUGAUGCAGCGACGCCGCGUGAGCGAAGAAGUAUUUCGGUAUGUAAAGCUCUAUCAGCAGGGAAGAAAAUGACGGUACCUGACUAAGAAGCCCCGGCUAACUACGUGCCAGCAGCCGCGGUAAUACGUAGGGGGCAAGCGUUAUCCGGAUUUACUGGGUGUAGAGGGAGCGUAGACGGCAGCGCAAGUCUGAAGUGAAAGGCGGGGGCUUAACCCCCGGACUGCUUUGGAAACUGUGGAGCUAGAGUGUCGGAGAGGUAAGUGGAAUUCCUAGUGUAGCGGUGAAAUGCGUAGAUAUUAGGAGGAACACCAGUGGCGAAGGCGGCUUACUGGACGAUGACUGACGUUGAGGCUCGAAAGCGUGGGGAGCAAACAGGAUUAGAUACCCUGGUAGUCCACGCCGUAAA
This 800-nucleotide ribosomal RNA is filed under the name uncultured bacterium. RNAcentral's name for it is "bacterial SSU rRNA". It matches the Rfam family "Bacterial small subunit ribosomal RNA", at positions 8 to 806 of the family's 1533-position model. The record is from RNAcentral.